UCCAUGGCGAAGAUGGAGAGCGGUGUUCUAUGCCAAACAGUUUCAGAGAGUCGGUGGUCGCUGCGAACCGAUACUGUACUUGAAUACAAAUCACUCCUGAGCCGUAUCUUUGAACAUGAUAGGGAAGGCUUCUAUCAGUAAAAGAUACCGUCUAGUCCCGUUAUCGACUUAGGUUUGUUAGAACUGAAAAAGGGGUAUUUAUAUUAUGAAUACAACCAAGGUGGUACCGCGGGUAAUCCUCGUCCUUGAA
This 250-nucleotide non-coding RNA is filed under the name Geosporobacter ferrireducens. RNAcentral's name for it is "T-box sequence". It matches the Rfam family "T-box leader". From Rfam's summary of the family: Uncharged tRNA acts as the effector for transcription antitermination of genes in the T-box leader family. Lineage: Bacteria; Bacillati; Bacillota; Clostridia; Peptostreptococcales; Thermotaleaceae. The record is from RNAcentral.